This is a long non-coding RNA of Onychostoma macrolepis, 5002 nucleotides long. RefSeq lists it as uncharacterized. Lineage: Eukaryota; Metazoa; Chordata; Actinopteri; Cypriniformes; Cyprinidae. The transcript is spliced from 6 exons. The record is from RefSeq and is a predicted model, not a curated record.
AUCAGGAAAAGAGGAAACCAACAAUAAAACAGGAGAAAGUACUAAAUUAUUACUAUAUUACUAUACUAUGUGUAAAACGCAUGUGAACAGUAGCCUACUUUUUGAUCAGUUCAUCAGUAAUAUUCAGGAAAUAAUAGAUAUUGAAUGGAUGUUUGAACUUAUUUGCAUGUUUUUUUUUUUUUUGUCUUUUUAUCCUCAUUCCAAAUGAUCAUGAAAAGAGGAAAUCAACAGUAAAACAGGAGAAAGUAGUAAAUUAUUACUAUAUUACUGUGCCAUAGUAAAAUACAUGUACCUAUUUUUUUUAUCAGUUGACCAGCUAUCUGCCCAAUCAGGUAUCUAGGUGACAGUUUAUAGUUCUUGAGAGUAUGUACCUCUCAUUGCAUGGCACAGCGCACAGACCUGCCCCUCACUGACUGCACCUGUACUGUCUGCCGGCGGCCCUUUGAGCGCGCGCGAUCAGAAAAAAAGACGCAAUCUGGCCGACCAUCAGCAACGCGAUGCCUCUCCUAUGGACACUAAGACCACGUCCACCCCUGCCACCCUCAUCCCCGUUGGGCAAGGCUCGAAAUUAUCACUUGAUGGUGCUUUGUGAACACUCUCGCCAUUUACGGCGGCGCCAUUGCGCAUGUGAAGAUGUACCAGGAGAUGCGCGAUCAUUAGAUGGCCGAUCGUCAUUUCCAAAGGCAAAUAUUCCCCUUCAGAGUCAGAAUAGGCGAAUAACAUUUGCAACACGUCCUCACGGUACAACUUUUUAUUAGCCAUUUGGCGAUUUUCUCUCACAAAUCUCACAAUUUACUCAGACGCUAAGAACUGAACUGCUUCCGCAUCAAUGACACGACAGCUCACUUGCUCUGCUAUUUCCUCGAACAAUUUUGGUCUAGAAUCGAAGUACUACAUGUCUGCCAUCUAGUGGUAGGGAAUACAAAUGAGAUACUACACCAUAUUAGGAACUACAAUCUGUUUAAUGAAGUAUGACGUCUUGUCGCAAUUUUGCGACUUUGGCGCUUAGAGGGUUAAAAGUUAUUAAUUCCAAAAGAGUUGAAUUAACAAUCUACAGUGUUAAACAGUACUGGUGUUCAGUGUUGUCACACGGUGUAAUAUUUAUGUAAUUUCACUUUUACACUGAAAGUGUAAAAAAACCCGCCGAAUUCAUCUGACUCCGCCCUUCAAGGACUGCUGCCUCGCAAAGCGACGAACCGAGACGGUUUACAGUGUUAAGUUCGUGAGUUGUAGAGAUGCAAGGUUAGCCUACAGAAGAGUGAAAGUUUCUCAGGCCGUUUUGAUUUUCUGAAAUAAGAUCCUCUCGCCUUCAUUCUCGCCGAGGCCUGGUUUUACUACGAGUCUGGCACUGAAGAUGAGGUCUGAAGCAGCCACAUUUGGGCGGUUUUUUUACUCAGAUGAGAGAUGUUUGCUUUUGAAAGCAUUCAGUGCUUUGAAACGGUAAUAGUGGGACUGUUAAAGAUUUACGCGCUAACAAUUUCGUUUUUGUGACGCAUAACACCGUGUGAAGUGUCGUGUCGCUGACGGAGCUGUGUAACGCGGAACAUUGACCAGUCAUUUAACGUUAAUUGACGUUAUCUAAUGCAAAACUGUGAAAUUAGAGCGCGUUUAAAAUCUUAGUUCGCCCUAGGCUCAAGUGUGAAUUGCAUAAUCUGUACGAUGCUUGUUCUCGGCGCUGAAUAUCAUGUCUGUCAUAUCUGCGUCAAGAAACAAACGCGCUACCAUCAAGUUUUUCUUAUGACAAUUAACGUUACGUUUAUGCAAGCAUCGUGAAAGUGAGUUAAGAGUACGUUAAACUGUAAAUCCGUCAGUCUUUCAAUUUCCUUCAGAGCCCAUGGGCAGAGCAUGCAGGUACUUUAGCUUGAAACCAGUCUUUAUCAUUCAUAUGGCAUGCUAUUUUGGGUAAAUAAUGCCCUAAAUAUUUCCAGAUAUACAAAGUUAAGUUUUAAUUUAGAAAGAUAUGUCUGAAUCUAUCUGUAUUUUCUUUUCACAUUAUAAAUAAUAAAUUAAUAGUAAGAUCAAUUUUAAACGUGUUAAUUUAUUCUAAUGUAGUACACUAUGUUCAUUUAAGAUGCCUUAUUACUCCUUACUCAUUAAAAUUAUAUAAAUGUAUUUAAUAAUCAGAUUAAAUAAAUACUUAAAUUGUUUCAGGAAUGGCUCCAUGUGAAUAUUGUACAAGGUUUUGUGUCUUAUUAACUUUAGCAGUCGUUUAAUUGACCCUAGAAUGAAGAAUGUAAAUAAAAAUAAGUUUAUGAUUUGACACCUGUAUUAUAGACAGCUCUCGGCAUACUCAAAAUUAGGGGUAAUCACAAUUAUUUUACCAUAUUUACAGUCCUAAUGUAAAUUAAAUUACUGAAAUAAGUGUUUUUUAUUUUUAUAAUUCUUUUUCAAUAGAAUUGGCCCAGACUUCUGCAGUGUCAAGUGAAGGAAGCUCCUCUCAUAAGAUUACUUUACUUUACUUUACUUUACUUUAUUGGUUUAUAGUAAUGUGGACAACCUCUUUUAAUGAAAAGAGCAGCUUUAGCCUCUACGGCUAAUUUCCAGCUGUAGUCCCCAGCCAGUUGUUAAUUGGCAUACAUCAAUAAAUACAUUACAAUUAAAACAAAACUUAAGCAAAAGCUUAGACAAACAAACAAAGUGGUACAAAAUUGAAACAGACAAGCAAACACAACUUGCAAAGACAUAAAAGCAGAUCAAGCAAUAAACUAGAAAAAAUUGACACACAAAAUAAUCAUGCAAAGGCCACAUUAAAACACAUAUAGAACAUAGCAUUGAAACAGUCAGCAGAGAUCAAGUAGCAGAAGCAUGAUCAUGUCAAGAUUGCAAACUGGGAGUCUGAUGGCACUGAGUGUGAGUGAUGGAGUGAGCAGAAUGCUGAAUGCAGAAUGCUGAAGAUGAAGCCAGAAUUAAGCCAAGUUCCUGGCUUUUCCCAAGACCUUCAAGGACACGAUUAACCUCGAAAUCAGCUGUAAAGGAGGAUGAAACCGAUGUUUAAGAAUGAGACAGCAAUAUUGCAUCAAUUUGUCUCCUACUUCGUUUGAUUCCACCAUCACCACAAGGCUGCAAGGGACCUGGACAAAUGUCCUCCUAUCAAGCUGAAAAACAUCUUCAAAAAGGCACUAACAAGAAGAACAGCUUGAUUGCGUAGAAGAGACCAACACAGCCAUACCUGCUCACUGAUGGGACAACGAGGAACAGCAUUCAUGGAUGCUACACAGCUGUCGACAAGUAUCUUGCUGCAAUCAUAUUUGUUAAUGUCUAGGUAAAUUUGAUGAUUUUAUGUGUUUUAUUAGCUAUUUUAUGUUUCUGUGCAACACUUAAUGAAUGUGACUGACUAAUUAACCUCUACACAUCUGGUAUAUGCUUUAAAGUUGCCACUUUGCCCAUUUGUUAAAUAAAUUUGGAAUUUGUACAUCUGUCUGAAGACUCUUGAUUUUGUCUAAUAUUGUACAUUAACACCAUACAAUAGCAUUUUUAUUUUUGCACUGAAAAGAAUACUUUAUUAAUAACACUUAAAGGAUUAAAACAACACCAGGGGUGUUAAAUACCCUAUAGUGUAAAAUUUGAACAAGUGUAACAAUUUACUCUUGGAGUGUAAUUUUUCUAUAUUGUAAGGUGCUUUAUUAACACUAAAAAUUCAACACUGAAUGGUGUUGUCACGAAUCCGGUCCAUGGACGUCCAUUCACUCACCACCAGAGGUCACUCGCUCACCACAUUGGCUCUUGCACUACACUAACUGUUGCAGGUCACCCAGGACUUCAAUUCCCAUCAUCCAUUGCACUAAUGACUCGCACACAGCUGAUUGCACUGAUCACACAGCUGAUUCCCAUUACAACCAUGGACUUCCUUUCACAGAUCGCCCAGUGUUCUGCAUUUAGCACUCUCCAAGUGAUAGCUAUUUUACUGAGCCAUUCUGUGUUUAGUUCCAGUAUUGUCUAGCGUUUAUUGCUCUCCUAGUGGUAGCUAUUACGGAGUCCUUUUGUGUUUUCUAAGUCUUGCCUUGUUUCCUGAUAUCUGCCCGUGUUUCUUGGAUUUCCCUCGCCGUUUCGGACUCUGUUUAUGCCUAGUGGUGGGCAAUGCGAGGCUUCGUGAAACACUGAAACAGUGGAAGCAAAUGUGUCGAGGCUUCGAAGCAAUUCGACACCCGUCUCUACGGUGACACCUAGUGGUCAUUUUCAAGUAUUGCUCUGAAACAGUUUCGACAGAGAAUCAGUUAGGCGAAUACACGAAUUAUAACCUAUGUUGUGUUCGUUGGUUCGCCAAGUGAUUCGGGGGAGUGGUUUGUGUUCAUGACUGGAAUGCUGUCACCCUGGUUUCGAAUCCCGGGUGAAGCAGUAAUUCAUAAAAUUAUAAUAAGCAUUUAGAAUUUGUGUUUUUAUUGUUCUGCUAUUCUAAUGUGUUGAAACAUUGGUCUGACAUCUGAGUGAACUCUUUAUGAAUAAAUGUUAUUUUGGUCAUGAAAAAUAAACAUUAAUAAAAGACAUCAAGCCACAAUGUCUGACUUCUUUUUUUUUUCUUUUUUUUUUACAUAUAAAGAUUUUUAUUUUAAAAUAUGGAUUUUCUAAACAGUGUCUCAACACUUUGUGAUCUGAAUUAGAUUUCAUACAAUGUAUGCCUUGCUUAGAUGGCCCAGCAGUGUCAAAAGCAGGCCUAGGUACAGGGACAAUGUUACCAUCCUCUGCACCCCCAAAAGGCCAGGAUGAGUGCUCCUCAAAUGGCCUAUCGUGGAUGUUGUAUUAUUACAGUAGGCUAGCUGAUCACAAUACAUACAUCUCACUUUAUUUUGUGUUUCCAAAUGGAAAUGCUCCCACACCACAGAUGCGUGGCAUCUCUUGCAUGGAGCUUCCAUUAUUAUGUAAUCUAUCAGUAUGAAAUAAUCUAUGUAUCAAUUAGCCUAUGAUAUCCUAUCUCUAACUUGCUGUGCUUGUCACUAUCUAACUUAUAUUAAUGUAUAUGUAUGCCUAUAUGAAUGUAUCAGUAUAUUUAUCCUAAUUACCUGUC